Molecule: long non-coding RNA, 585 nt
Filed under: Gallus gallus (chicken)
Lineage: Eukaryota; Metazoa; Chordata; Aves; Galliformes; Phasianidae
Source: RNAcentral
UAAGGAUGUCAGAUUUUAUAGGAAAAGUUUUCAAGGAUUCCCUCUUAUCCCUCUAACGGGGAUUUCGACGAUCAGUUUGUCAUCUUUUUAAUAUGAAUCUGAAACAGAGAAGCAGAAAAAAAAAAAACACCAUUACAUUUUUAAGGAGAUUGCAGUCCUCUCAACAAUAGGAAGUAGCUGUUUUCAGCACUAGCCAAAAUUUCGAGCUUCAGACACACUGAAGGAAUAAAGAAAUCUCACAUGUGCAGUUUUUAUUUUUAGAAGAUUAUUCCAUCUCUCACCUCAUUCAGAAUUGCCCAGACUGCUGAAUUCUGUAUUACUGAAAGCCGGAAUGAUGAAAUGGGGUUUAGGCUGGGGUCAACCGUUCCUUCAGCUACACCGUUUUCAAACUUCCCUAUUCUGAAGUAACCAUCCUCUAAGCGUUUGUCUUUGGUUUCUUUGCUUAGUACCAGUUCUUCAUUCUGAAAGGGCAAAACUUCCACGGUUGUGUUUAAAAGUAUAUCUCCUGGAUGCUCUGGAUUGCCACUGUGGAACAAGUACCUUUCUACAUUGACAGGCUUGUCAAAUUUAAAUAGAAUAUAAUCC